Molecule: long non-coding RNA, 436 nt
Organism: Vidua chalybeata
Lineage: Eukaryota; Metazoa; Chordata; Aves; Passeriformes; Viduidae
Exons: 2
Source: RefSeq, a predicted model, not a curated record
CUUGGCCACCAGGUCUUUGUCUGCAAGGUGUCUCUCUACACAAACGUGGGUGGUAGUUGCUUCCUCCGAGGUGGGGUGAGCGGGAAAUGCCAGGGUCUUGGCAGAGUUUGGCAGGUUGUCCAUAAAAAUGCAGGGUCAGGGGGAUCAGACGGGGCAAGAGCUUGGCCAUGUCAUGCUCCCAUCUGCAUCAAGAACCAAGCAAGGCUCAAGUUUCUUCUUUGAAAGACUGAAGCCUGCUAAUUGCAGAGAGGCUUGUUCAGAGGAGGUGCAGCUCAUGUAGCCACUGUGGCUGCUGAUUCAGUACCUGCCCUGUGAAUAUAAUAGGAAGAUUUCUGUCUCCACCGCUGCCCAUCCAUCACCUUUCACAAGCCUAGGAGCAAAAGGAAGAAUAAGAGGAAUAACAAGAAAAUAAAGGAACACUGCAGCCAGAAAGCUA